This 153-nucleotide ribosomal RNA is filed under the name uncultured bacterium. RNAcentral's name for it is "partial 16S ribosomal RNA". It matches the Rfam family "Bacterial small subunit ribosomal RNA", at positions 355 to 509 of the family's 1533-position model. The record is from RNAcentral.
UGGGGAAUAUUGCACAAUGGGCGCAAGCCUGAUGCAGCGACGCCGCGUGCGGGAUGGAGGCCUUCGGGUUGUAACCGCUUUGUUCAAGGGCAAGGCACGGUCUUUGGCCGUGUUGAGUGGAUUGUUCGAAUAAGCACCGGCUAACUACGUGCC